This 429-nucleotide ribosomal RNA is filed under the name Actinomycetes bacterium. RNAcentral's name for it is "Actinobacteria bacterium partial 16S ribosomal RNA". It matches the Rfam family "Bacterial small subunit ribosomal RNA", at positions 355 to 776 of the family's 1533-position model. Lineage: Bacteria; Bacillati; Actinomycetota; Actinomycetes. The record is from RNAcentral.
UAGGGAAUCUUCCGCAAUGGGCGAAAGCCUGACGGAGCAACGCCGCGUGAGUGAUGAAGGUCUUCGGAUCGUAAAACUCUGUUAUUAGGGAAGAACAAAUGUGUAAGUAACUAUGCACGUCUUGACGGUACCUAAUCAGAAAGCCACGGCCAACUACGUGCCAGCAGCCGCGGUAAUACGUAGGUGGCAAGCGUUAUCCGGAAUUAUUGGGCGUAAAGCGCGCGUAGGCGGUUUUUUAAGUCUGAUGUGAAAGCCCACGGCUCAACCGUGGAGGGUCAUUGGAAACUGGAAAACUUGAGGGCAGAAGAGGAAAGUGGAAGUCCAUGUGUAGCGGUGAAAUGCGCAGAGAUAUGGAGGAACACCAGUGGCGAAGGCGACUUUCUGGUCUGUAACUGACGCUGAUGUGCGAAAGCGUGGGGAUCAAACAGG